RNAcentral lists this ribosomal RNA (497 nucleotides) under uncultured bacterium. RNAcentral describes it as "partial 16S ribosomal RNA". It matches the Rfam family "Bacterial small subunit ribosomal RNA", at positions 28 to 507 of the family's 1533-position model. The record is from RNAcentral.
GAUGAACGCUGGCGGCGUGCCUAAUACAUGCAAGUCGAGCGAACAGAUAAGGAGCUUGCUCCUUUGACGUUAGCGGCGGACGGGUGAGUAACACGUGGGUAACCUACCUAUAAGACUGGGAUAACUUCGGGAAACCGGAGCUAAUACCGGAUAAUAUUUUGAACCGCAUGGUUCGAUAGUGAAAGAUGGUUUUGCUAUCACUUAUAGAUGGACCCGCGCCGUAUUAGCUAGUUGGUAAGGUAACGGCUUACCAAGGCGACGAUACGUAGCCGACCUGAGAGGGUGAUCCGCCACACUGGAACUGAGACACGGUCCAGACCCCUACGGGAGGCAGCAGGAGGGAAUCUUCCGCAAUGGGGGGAAGCCUGACGGAGCAACGGCGCGUGAGUGAUGAAGGUCUUCGGAUCGUAAAACUCUGGUAUUAGGGAAGAAAAUACGUGUAAGUAACUGUGCACGUCUUGACGGUACCUAAUCAGAAAGCCACGGCUAACUACGUG